Molecule: ribosomal RNA, 253 nt
Filed under: uncultured bacterium
Lineage: Bacteria
Description: partial 16S ribosomal RNA
Rfam family: Bacterial small subunit ribosomal RNA
Source: RNAcentral
CGUAGGGUGCAAGCGUUAUCCGGAAUUAUUGGGCGUAAAGAGCUCGUAGGCGGUUUGUCGCGUCUGCUGUGAAAACUGGAGGCUCAACCUCCAGCCUGCAGUGGGUACGGGCAGACUAGAGUGCGGUAGGGGAGAUUGGAAUUCCUGGUGUAGCGGUGGAAUGCGCAGAUAUCAGGAGGAACACCGAUGGCGAAGGCAGAUCUCUGGGCCGUAACUGACGCUGAGGAGCGAAAGGGUGGGAGCAAACAGGCUU